Molecule: ribosomal RNA, 253 nt
Filed under: uncultured bacterium
Lineage: Bacteria
Description: partial 16S ribosomal RNA
Rfam family: Bacterial small subunit ribosomal RNA
Source: RNAcentral
UACGUAGGGUGCAAGCGUUAAUCGGAAUUACUGGGCGUAAAGGGUGCGUAGGCGGCGCGGUAAGUCGGGUGUGAAAUCUCGGGGCUUAACUCCGAAACUGCAUUCGAUACUGCCGUGCUUGAGGACUGGAGAGGAGACUGGAAUUUACGGUGUAGCGGUGAAAUGCGUAGAUAUCGUAAGGAAGACCAGUGGCGAAGGCGGGUCUCUGGACAGUUCCUGACGCUGAGGCACGAAGGUCAGGGGAGCAAACGGG